This 1441-nucleotide ribosomal RNA is filed under the name uncultured organism. RNAcentral describes it as "SSU rRNA". It matches the Rfam family "Bacterial small subunit ribosomal RNA". The record is from RNAcentral.
GCAGGCCUAACACAUGCAAGUCGAACCCUUACAGGAAGAAGCUUGCUUCUUUGCUGACGAGUGGCGGACGGGUGAGUAAUGUCUGGGAAACUGCCUGAUGGAGGGGGAUAACUACUGGAAACGGUAGCUAAUACCGCAUAACGUCGCAAGACCAAAGAGGGGGACCUUCGGGCCUCUUGCCAUCGGAUGUGCCCAGAUGGGAUUAGCUUGUUGGUGGGGUAACGGCUCACCAAGGCGACGAUCCCUAGCUGGUCUGAGAGGAUGACCAGCCACACUGGAACUGAGGCACGGUCCAGACUCCUACGGGAGGCAGCAGUGGGGAAUAUUGCACAAUGGGCGCAAGCCUGAUGCAGCCAUGCCGCGUGUAUGAAGAAGGCCUUCGGGUUGUAAAGUACUUUCAGCGGGGAGGAAGGGAGUAAAGUUAAUACCUUUGCUCAUUGACGUUACCCGCAGAAGAAGCACCGGCUAACUCCGUGCCAGCAGCCGCGGUAAUACGGAGGGUGCAAGCGUUAAUCGGAAUUACUGGGCGUAAAGCGCACGCAGGCGGUUUGUUAAGUCAGAUGUGAAAUCCCCGGGCUCAACCUGGGAACUGCAUCUGAUACUGGCAAGCUUGAGUCUCGUAGAGGGGGGUAGAAUUCCAGGUGUAGCGGUGAAAUGCGUAGAGAUCUGGAGGAAUACCGGUGGCGAAGGCGGCCCCCUGGACGAAGACUGACGCUCAGGUGCGAAAGCGUGGGGAGCAAACAGGAUUAGAUACCCUGGUAGUCCACGCCGUAAACGAUGUCGACUUGGAGGUUGUGCCCUUGAGGCGUGGCUUCCGGAGCUAACGCGUUAAGUCGACCGCCUGGGGAGUACGGCCGCAAGGUUAAAACUCAAAUGAAUUGACGGGGGCCCGCACAAGCGGUGGAGCAUGUGGUUUAAUUCGAUGCAACGCGAAGAACCUUACCUGGUCUUGACAUCCACGGAAGUUUUCAGAGAUGAGAAUGUGCCUUCGGGAACCGUGAGACAGGUGCUGCAUGGCUGUCGUCAGCUCGUGUUGUGAAAUGUUGGGUUAAGUCCCGCAACGAGCGCAACCCUUAUCCUUUGUUGCCAGCGGUCCGGCCGGGAACUCAAAGGAGACUGCCAGUGAUAAACUGGAGGAAGGUGGGGAUGACGUCAAGUCAUCAUGGCCCUUACGACCAGGGCUACACACGUGCUACAAUGGCGCAUACAAAGAGAAGCGACCUCGCGAGAGCAAGCGGACCUCAUAAAGUGCGUCGUAGUCCGGAUUGGAGUCUGCAACUCGACUCCAUGAAGUCGGAAUCGCUAGUAAUCGUGGAUCAGAAUGCCACGGUGAAUACGUUCCCGGGCCUUGUACACACCGCCCGUCACACCAUGGGAGUGGGUUGCAAAAGAAGUAGGUAGCUUAACCUUCGGGAGGGCGCUUACCACUUUGUGAUUCAUA